RNAcentral lists this ribosomal RNA (496 nucleotides) under uncultured bacterium. Its description in RNAcentral is "partial 16S ribosomal RNA". It matches the Rfam family "Bacterial small subunit ribosomal RNA", at positions 28 to 506 of the family's 1533-position model. The record is from RNAcentral.
GAUGAACGCUGGCGGCGUGCCUAAUACAUGCAAGUAGAACGCUGAAGCUUGGUGCUUGCACCGAGCGGAUGAGUUGCGAACGGGUGAGUAACGCGUAGGUAACCUGCCUCUUAGCGGGGGAUAACUAUUGGAAACGAUAGCUAAUACCGCAUAAAAGUCGAUAUCGCAUGAUAUUGAUUUGAAAGGUGCAAAUGCAUCACUAAGAGAUGGACCUGCGUUGUAUUAGCUAGUUGGUGAGGUAACGGCUCACCAAGGCGACGAUACAUAGCCGACCUGAGAGGGUGAUCGGCCACACUGGGACUGAGACACGGCCCAGACUCCUACGGGAGGCAGCAGUAGGGAAUCUUCGGUAAUGGGGGCAACCCUGACCGAGCAACGCCGCGUGAGUGAAGAAGGUUUUCGGAUCGUAAAGCUCUGUUGUAAGAGAAGAACGAGUGUGAGAGUGGAAAGUUCACACUGUGACGGUAACUUACCAGAAAGGGACGGCUAACUACGU